AAUUUUGGACAAUGGGGGAAACCCUGAUCCAGCCAUCCCGCGUGUAUGAUGAAGGCCUUCGGGUUGUAAAGUACUUUUGGCAGAGACGAAAAGGUAUCCCCUAAUACGGGAUACUGCUGACGGUAUCUGCAGAAUAAGCACCGGCUAACUACGUGCCAGCCGCCGCGGUAAUACGCAGGGUGCAAGGGUUAAUCGGAAUUACUGGGGGUAAAACGGUAUGAAGCGGGUCGGAAAGAAAAGAGUGAAAACCCGGGGCUCAAACUUGGAACUGCAUUUUUAACUGCCGAGCUAGAGUAUGUCAGAGGGGGGUAGAAUUCCACGUGUAGCAGUGAAAUGCGUAGAUAUGUGGAGGAAUACCGAUGGCGAAGGCAGCCCCCUGGGAUAAUACUGACGCUCAGACACGAAAGCGUGGGGAGCAAACAGG
RNAcentral lists this ribosomal RNA (424 nucleotides) under uncultured bacterium. RNAcentral's name for it is "partial 16S ribosomal RNA". It matches the Rfam family "Bacterial small subunit ribosomal RNA", at positions 360 to 776 of the family's 1533-position model. The record is from RNAcentral.